CAGUCGCCGCGGUAAUACGUAGGUGGCAAGCGUUGUCCGGGAUUAUUGGGCGUAAAGGGCACGCAGGCGGUUUCUUAAGUCUGAUGUGAAAGCCCCCGGCUCAACCGGGGAGGGUCAUUGGAAACUGGGAGACUUGAGUGCAGAAGAGGAGAGUGGAAUUCCACGUGUAGCGGUGAAAUGCGUAGAGAUGUGGAGGAACGCCAGUGGCGAAGGCGACUCUCUGGUCUGCAACUGACGCUGAGGAGCGAAAGCGUGGGGAGCGAACAGGAUUAGAUACCCCCGUAGUCCCUGUCUCUUAUAC
This 301-nucleotide ribosomal RNA is filed under the name uncultured bacterium. RNAcentral describes it as "partial 16S ribosomal RNA". It matches the Rfam family "Bacterial small subunit ribosomal RNA", at positions 509 to 807 of the family's 1533-position model. The record is from RNAcentral.